GUGGGGAAUAUUGCACAAUAGGGGAAACCCUGAUGCAGCGACGCCGCGUGGAGGAAGAAGGUCUUCGGAUUGUAAACUCCUGUUGUUGAGGAAGAUAAUGACGGUACUCAACAAGGAAGUGACGGCUAACUACGUGCCAGCAGCCGCGGUAAAACGUAGGUCACAAGCGUUGUCCGGAAUUACUGGGUGUAAAGGGAGCGCAGGCGGGAAGACAAGUUGGAAGUGAAAUCCAUGGGCUCAACCCAUGAACUGCUUUCAAAACUGUGUUUCUUGAGUAGUGCAGAGGUAGGCGGAAUUCCCUGUGUAGCGGUGGAAUGCGUAGAUAUCGGGAGGAACACCAGUGGCGAAGGCGGCCUACUGGGCACCAACUGACGCUGAGGCUCGAAAGUGUGGGUAGCAAACAGGAUUAGAAACCCGGGUAGUCC
This 425-nucleotide ribosomal RNA is filed under the name uncultured bacterium. RNAcentral describes it as "partial 16S ribosomal RNA". It matches the Rfam family "Bacterial small subunit ribosomal RNA", at positions 354 to 796 of the family's 1533-position model. The record is from RNAcentral.